RNAcentral lists this long non-coding RNA (883 nucleotides) under Phasianus colchicus (ring-necked pheasant). RNAcentral's name for it is "lncRNA (ENSPCLG00000020176.1)". The record is from RNAcentral. Lineage: Eukaryota; Metazoa; Chordata; Aves; Galliformes; Phasianidae.
AGGUCAUAUGGGGUCGCCAGCCCAAUAGGGGACAUCAGCCCUAUAGGGGUCAGAGGCCAUAUGGGGUCAUCGGCCCUAUUGGGGUCACAGGGCAUGUGGGGUCACAGGUCAUAUGGGGGUCAGAGGUCAUAUGGGGGUCAGCUGUCAUAUGGGGUCACAGGGCAUGUGGGAUCAUGGGGCAUGUGGGGUCAGAGGGCAUGUGGGGUCACGGGGCACUUGGGGUUAUGGGGCAUGUGGGGUCACAGGGCAUGUGGGGUCAUCGGGCGUAUGGGGUCCCUACGGUGCCCCUGUCCUUAUGGUGUCCCUGUCCCUACGGUGCCCCUGUCCCUAUAAGGGUCCCUAUGGUGUCCCUAUGGUGUCCCUGUCCCUAUGGGGGUCCCUAUCCCUAUGGUGUCCCUACGAUGCCCCUGUCCCUAUUAGAGUCCCUAUGGUGUCCCUAUGGUGUCCCUAUGGUGUCCCUGUCCCUAUUAGAGUCCCUCUGGUGUCCCUCUGGUGUCCCUGUCCCUAUGGGGGUCCCUGUCCCUAACGGUGUCCCUAUGGUGUCCCUCUGGUCCCCCUGUCCCUAUGAUGCCCCGUCCCUGUGGGGUCCCCGUCCCUCUGGGUCCCCCUGGUGUCCCUCCGGCUCCCCCGUCCCUGUGGUCCCCGGCCGCCCCCAACCCCCGCCGUCCCGCAGCGCUCGUCGCGGCGCUCGCUGUUCGUGGCGGCGGCGGCGCGGCACCAGCAGUUGUACCGCCUGGCCAUGACGGGCGCCGGCAUCGACCGCCACCUCUUCUGCCUCUACGUGGCGUCGCGGUACCUCGGCGUGCGGUCCGCCUUCCUCGAUCACGUGAGCGGCGGGGGGGGCGGGGGGGCGAUGGGGGGUGAUGGGGGUGGGGGGGGAUGG